This is a long non-coding RNA of Heterocephalus glaber (naked mole-rat), 1476 nucleotides long. RefSeq lists it as uncharacterized. The record is from RefSeq and is a predicted model, not a curated record. Lineage: Eukaryota; Metazoa; Chordata; Mammalia; Rodentia; Bathyergidae.
UGGGGUUAAAGCAGUGGAUUUUGAGUGGAGCAGAUUGUCCUCUGUGAUGUAUGUGGGCCUCAUCCAACCAGUUGAAGGCCUGAAUAGAGCAGAAGACUGACUUCCCAGCAAAGCAAGAGGGAAUAUCCUGCUAGUGGAAGCCCUUCAAACUUGAAAGGCAGUAUCAGAUUUUCCCUGGGUCUCCAAACUUUGGCCUACCCUGCAGCUUCCAUAAUCAUCUACUCAGAUGUACCUGGAUAAGACUAGGAUUUGAGUCAGUAAUGCAUGGGAGCAGGUGCCAAGGUGUGAUAGUUAACUGACUGUGUCAACUUGAGUAAGAAAAACCCAACUAACUUGGAUCAGCAUAGUUCUGGGUGUGGCUGAGGGGAUUUACUGAAGACAGAAGACUCACCCUAGGGUGGCCUGUCACCUGAAAGGAAUAAAAAGGAAAUGAAGAAGGAAAGCUCACUUCUGUUUCUUCAGAGGAGCUCCAGUCUUCACCUUCACCUUGGAUGUUGUCUUCAGCCUUCCAUCGCAGAACCUUUGGCAUCUUGAUAAGGACUCACAUGGGCCACUUCAGUGAGCUCCAGGCCUUCGACAGGAUCCUUCAGGUCUCCAACACACAGACAGCCCUUUUGCAGUCUUCCAUUACUGAUCCUGUGGGCAGCCAUUAAACAUUGACAAUCAUCAAUGGAUAUAUGUACCUUUGUGGGAGAUUAGGAGUCAAAUGGAAGCUCCCAGCAUUCUAUUGGAACAACAACAACAAAAAUGAGAAUAGACACAUUGAAAAAGGUAAGAAGAAAAGCUCCAUUUUACCUACAUCAUCCCUUCCCUAUAGUGGCACAGCUCAGCAACAAGAAAGACCUACCCACCCCUUGGCUGUGAUUUUUCCCAUAGAGGACAGUGAGAAUCUAACAAGUGCCCAGCUUCCCCAGCCAUGGGGGACCCACUUCUUUCUUGCCCCACCCAGAUCACUGAAGAGAUUAGUACAGUUGAAUAAUCUGGAGGCAUCUAAGGUCAGGGGAAACAGGCAGAGGCUCAUAGUAACUGGAGCACAGAAUUCAACAAAGGGAUACAAUAUUGUUUCUGUUGACUGCCUCACAAAUUUCUCUAAGAGAUCCACCCAUGAAUCUCAUAGGAAAUACCACCUGGGGACCUCCCCAACUGACUCACAUGCACCCCUAGCACUGUGUAGCCCCUCCCCCCAGCAGGCAGCAUGCAUACGCACUCACAGAUGUCCCAAGUCUGCAGAUUGUACAUGAGCACACACAGACAGAGAUGGGCUCUACAGGAUUGGGAAAAGGCACUUACACUUGAAUACUUCAGGGCAGUGCCUUAGGGGAAAUGAACAAGAGGUUCACAGAACCUGUUAUAACUGUUAUAAUUAAUGAACUCAAUAAAGGUGCAGGAUACAAAAAUUAAUAUACCAAAACUAGUCAUAUUUUUAUACACUAACUGGAAACUAUAUGAAAAAGACACUAAGCAAAGAAACUCUAU